Molecule: ribosomal RNA, 270 nt
Filed under: uncultured archaeon
Lineage: Archaea
Description: partial 16S ribosomal RNA
Rfam family: Archaeal small subunit ribosomal RNA
Source: RNAcentral
CAGCACCUCAAGUGGUUAGGAUGAUUAUUGGGCCUAAAGCAUCCGUAGCCGGCGCUGUAAGUUUUCGGUUAAAUCUGUACGCUCAACGUACAGGCUGCCGGGAAUACUGCAGCGCUAGGGAGUGGGAGAGGUAGACGGUACUCGGUAGGAAGGGGUAAAAUCCUUUGAUCUAUUGAUGACCACCUGUGGCGAAGGCGGUCUACCAGAACACGUCCGACGGUGAGGGAUGAAAGCUGGGGGAGCAAACCGGAUUAGAUACCCAAGUAGUCC